Daphnia pulicaria is the source of this 2025-nucleotide long non-coding RNA. RefSeq lists it as uncharacterized. The transcript has 5 exons. NCBI's taxonomy places the organism in Eukaryota, Metazoa, Arthropoda, Branchiopoda, Diplostraca, Daphniidae. The record is from RefSeq and is a predicted model, not a curated record.
CAGAGAAAUGGAAACAUAUGGAGCUAUUUCAAACUCAAACACGAGAUGAGGAAAGUGACUUGAGGACCCAUGUUUCGAGAAUAGAACUUGAUUUGAUUUGUUAGGCAACUUGAGUAUGCUGGAAAUGUGAGUCGGUUCACCCCAGCGAUCUCUUGCUUUAUGUAAUGUUCACUCGUAACGGAGGAGGACUUACGUGGAAUAUCCCGCCAGUGAUGGACUGAUGAUGGCGUAUUCUUGAAUACUUGAUCAUUUCUUGGAAAUCACCUAAGUGACAAAUUUGAGAAACACUUUUCUACUUACACUUAUUCAUACGGCUUCUAGACAUCAAUAAAAGGCUUUGUGAAAUUGGACUGUUUCAGCUGUCCCUGUUGUCCAUUCAUGCGAAAAAGAAUGGACUGUAGCAACAAUCAGUUGCCACACGAUCAUGGAUGGCAGUGAUACAGCAUAUGGAUCCACACACAUUGGAUUGUGCAAAAAAGAAGAAAGAAUAAGUGAUGGCUGAAAUAUCCUGAGUUGGUAGUCUGCUGGUCCAUCUUAUUGCAAGCUGACGUGAACGCGUCGAGUCAUCGCAACGAUUUGCUCGAAUGAUAUAUAUAUCUCUCAUACACGACAGGCCCUGCGAGCACAUCACGACUUGGCGGCUAGGAUGUUCACAGUCGUCAUGGAAAAUAACGCAUAGUACAUUGCUGUGCUGACUGCGCAGCUAUAAAAGUGACAGCUCGUCCCGACGUCUUUGGAAUCACAGUGGGGAUUGUGGCGAUUGGCGAUGCGUGGCGGCGGGAGCAUGGAGAAGAGGCGCCGUCAACCACAUCGUUGAAGAACGACGUCUGAAAAACAUUUGAUGACGUCAAUAUAUACGCUGACACAUUCACGUCCUCUGCAUUCAAGGGAGGCCACACUCUACAAGCUCCGCCAGUUUAGGCCUGUGUAGCACCACUGUCCCCUUCUUCUUUUAUUUAAAGAAAUGUAAGAAGACACACACACGACAUUACCUCACGGUUUGUAAUCGCUACAUCUACUUAAUGCCAGACUCAUCUACUGGGUCUUUGGGGGAAUCCGAAACAGAGAGGACUUGGAAGGCUGUUGGGCUUUUUGUUGUUUUACACAGAUAAAAAGGCUCGUUUCGUUUCUCACGAAACAACGACUGGAUGGAAGGGAAUGAAAUAGAGUGAGAUGGAGAAUAUACGUCUAGCAGCGCUCACAGAGUCCAAUUAAAAUGCAAUCAGUCCCAAGAAACAACGACGGUAGGAUCGAUAAUACUCCUGGCUUUUGUCAUUCCUUAAUCAGCUUUGGAUCCCAUCAGUCUCUCCGCUGAAACAAUACAAGGCACAAGCUGAGGAUACUUUUAACUGCUACUACCUAUUACAGAGCUCUAUAUCAAUUGGAUAUUAUUUGGCCGUCUGCAAGGAAUAAAGCGGAUUGAAAUAAUGGACAAAGUCGUAAUACAAACGUUACAUCAUGUUUGAUCAAUCAGGAAUUGAUAUCGCAUGGGUGAAUAAAUGCAAUAUAGACAAUCAACUGGGCACAUUCAAACAGCAGCAACAAAAAUAAGUAUAAUUUCCAAGUUAAGCCACUUUUUAAAGACUCGUAAUUUACCCUAUAAUCUUUCACCUUUUUAUUUCAUGUAAAAUUAUACUUCUUUUCUUAUCUCUACUUAUGACUCUGACAACAAUCUUACUAAUAAACAUCUAUGACUAUCACAGGUGCAAGUGCAACCAACAGUUAAACUCCCUUGGUGGGCAGAAUCCUUGAUAUGUUCGUCGUCCGCCCGUCCGUCAUUCGUAAACAAAUAACAAGCGAAUAAGCGAAGCGAAUCAUUACAUCAAACAUCUCAUUUGGUCUGUAUGUAUCCAAAGUGUUUACGAAGCUGCUCAAGGAAGACGAAGGUCAAAAUCGUUUGUGGUGCCAGGCGGAUGAAAGCCGGGACGUAACCUUUGUAAAAUCCCAGCGGUCCUAGUUUAGCCGUGUACGUGACCAGAUGCAUCAUAUUCUGCACGGAAUGGAAAAUAAACAAGUCAAAUAUCG